GUGAUUCUGGUGCAGUGGUAGCACGCCUGUCUGUGAAACAGGAGACGAGGGUUCGAUUCCCCGAUUCACCCCA
RNAcentral lists this transfer RNA (73 nucleotides) under Rhodoferax sp. Its description in RNAcentral is "tRNA-His". It matches the Rfam family "tRNA". Rfam says of the family: Transfer RNA (tRNA) molecules are approximately 80 nucleotides in length. Their secondary structure includes four short double-helical elements and three loops (D, anti-codon, and T loops). The record is from RNAcentral. Lineage: Bacteria; Pseudomonadati; Pseudomonadota; Betaproteobacteria; Burkholderiales; Comamonadaceae.